GAAUGCUGACAUAAGUAACGAUAAAGCGGGUGAAAAGCCCGCUCGCCGGAAGACCAAGGGUUCCUGUCCAACGUUAAUCGGGGCAGGGUGAGUCGACCCCUAAGGCGAGGCCGAAAGGCGUAGUCGAUGGGAAACGGGUUAAUAUUCCCGUACUUGGUGUUACUGCGAAGGGGGGACGGAGAAGGCUAUGUUGGCCGGGCGACGGUUGUCCCGGUUUAAGCGUGUAGGUGUGUGUUCCAGGUAAAUCCGGUUCACUUUAACACUGAGGCGUGACGACGAGGCACUACGGUGCUGAAGCAACAAAUGCCCUGCUUCCAGGAAAAGCCUCUAAGCAUCAGGUAACAUCAAAUCGUACCCCAAACCGACACAGGUGGUCAGGUAGAGAAUACCAAGGCGCUUGAGAGAACUCGGGUGAAGGAACUAGGCAAAAUGGUGCCGUAACUUCGGGAGAAGGCACGCUGACACGUAGGUGAAGUGAUUUACUCAUGGAGCUGAAGUCAGUCGAAGAUACCAGCUGGCUGCAACUGUUUAUUAAAAACACAGCACUGUGCAAACACGAAAGUGGACGUAUACGGUGUGACGCCUGCCCGGUGCCGGAAGGUUAAUUGAUGGGGUCAGCGCAAGCGAAGCUCCUGAUCGAAGCCCCGGUAAACGGCGGCCGUAACUAUAACGGUCCUAAGGUAGCGAAAUUCCUUGUCGGGUAAGUUCCGACCUGCACGAAUGGCGUAAUGAUGGCCAGGCUGUCUCCACCCGAGACUCAGUGAAAUUGAACUCGCUGUGAAGAUGCAGUGUACCCGCGGCAAGACGGAAAGACCCCGUGAACCUUUACUAUAGCUUGACACUGAACAUUGAGCCUUGAUGUGUAGGAUAGGUGGGAGGCUUUGAAGUGUGGACGCCAGUCUGCAUGGAGCCGACCUUGAAAUACCACCCUUUAAUGUUUGAUGUUCUAACGUGGACCCGUUACCCGGGUUGCGGACAGUGUCUGGUGGGUAGUUUGACUGGGGCGGUCUCCUCCUAAAGAGUAACGGAGGAGCACGAAGGUUGGCUAAUCCUGGUCGGACAUCAGGAGGUUAGUGCAAUGGCAUAAGCCAGCUUGACUGCGAGCGUGACGGCGCGAGCAGGUGCGAAAGCAGGUCAUAGUGAUCCGGUGGUUCUGAAUGGAAGGGCCAUCGCUCAACGGAUAAAAGGUACUCCGGGGAUAACAGGCUGAUACCGCCCAAGAGUUCAUAUCGACGGCGGUGUUUGGCACCUCGAUGUCGGCUCAUCACAUCCUGGGGCUGAAGUAGGUCCCAAGGGUAUGGCUGUUCGCCAUUUAAAGUGGUACGCGAGCUGGGUUUAGAACGUCGUGAGACAGUUCGGUCCCUAUCUGCCGUGGGCGCUGGAGAACUGAGGGGGGCUGCUCCUAGUACGAGAGGACCGGAGUGGACGCAUCACUGGUGUUCGGGUUGUCAUGCCAA
This 1457-nucleotide ribosomal RNA is filed under the name Salmonella enterica. Its description in RNAcentral is "partial 23S ribosomal RNA". It matches the Rfam family "Bacterial large subunit ribosomal RNA", at positions 1292 to 2732 of the family's 2925-position model. RNAcentral also lists the same sequence under 1 other name. Lineage: Bacteria; Pseudomonadati; Pseudomonadota; Gammaproteobacteria; Enterobacterales; Enterobacteriaceae. The record is from RNAcentral.